GGCCUCCUUCGGCCCGGGACCCUCCCCGGUCCCCGUCGCUUGCCUCUGUGGCUGGGAUCGCGGGUCACCGUCCUCCCGGCCACCCCGAGCCCUCCAGGGGAAGCGGGCGGCUCCUGGGAGCGCCGCGGCCUCCGAGCUAUUUUUAAAAAAACAAAGUUGAGGUCAGCGUCUUCGGAACUCCCCGGUGCCCGACCCGGCCUUGCCUACCCGAGAGGGGCCGGUGACACCUCGGGAAGGCUCCGGGGAGGACCCGGCACAGAGAGCAUCCCUAAGGAACCCGCUGCAUCCAUCCUUCCUCAGGUCAGAGACCGAGGACCAGCACUUGCUGAUCAAGUCGGCUGUGCUCAGCGUGCUGGGGAGUCCCCAGGACAUUCUACUCCAGGAUGGCAGUUUGGAAAAAGCUGGUUGCAGAGUUCUGAUUGAGGACCUGAAGUGCCUGGGAUUGUAUUUUUGGAUAGUGAGCCGUAGACGGAGUGACACUAGGAUACUUUGCGUUGGGGCUUGUGCCUAUUGGUCACUGCUCCAAUUCCGGGUAGAAAUGACUACCUCUCAAGGGCAUGCACAUGGACUGGACGAGGAGACGGACCAGUCUCACAAGGUUGGGUGUGGUGGUACAUGUCUGUCAUCCCAGCACUCAGGAGGCCAAAGCAGAAUCCUGAGACCCAGGCUAGCCUGGACUACAUAGUGAGACCCUGUCUCAGAAACAAAAAGUAGGAGUAGGAAUCACAAACCAAGAAGGGUCCCAAGCUAGGUGGUAGAAUUCGUACUCUCGGAAAACUGUACGUGGGCAAUGAGAAUAGAUUUAUUUCUACCUGUAUAGUUUUUACUAUUUGAACUCUUGCCUUGUCUAAUUUGAAAAGAUUUAACUGGCUUUCCUUUUCUGCUCUUUUAUUUCAUAUACGUGCCAGGUGAGAGAGGAGGUCAGAGGAUGACUUUCGAGAAUUGAUUCUCUCCCACUAUAGGCUGCUGAGACUCGAAGCCGCCAAACCUGCUGAAAGGAAGAAGGGAUCCACAGAUGGAUCCCCUGCAUUUAACCUUCUCAGACCAAGCUCCUGUCUCCACACCUGUCCCGUCAGUAACACCACACAGUGGCCAGACAGGGUUUCCCUGUAUUGUUUCGGAGGCUAUCGGUCCAGCCUGGCCUUGAACUCACAAAGAUCCACCUGCCUCUUUCUGCCUCCCGAGUGCUGGGAUUAAAGGCGUGCGCCACCACCGCCCGGCCGCUCUCCUAUUCUUAAAGAAUCAUGAUUACAGUGAUGGAUGUGUACCUCAAACCCGCUCUCCUAUUCUUAAAGAAUCACGAUUUGUA
Mesocricetus auratus (golden hamster) is the source of this 1309-nucleotide long non-coding RNA. RefSeq lists it as uncharacterized. The record is from RefSeq and is a predicted model, not a curated record. The transcript is spliced from 2 exons. NCBI's taxonomy places the organism in Eukaryota, Metazoa, Chordata, Mammalia, Rodentia, Cricetidae.